Molecule: long non-coding RNA, 267 nt
Filed under: Homo sapiens (human)
Lineage: Eukaryota; Metazoa; Chordata; Mammalia; Primates; Hominidae
Description: HSALNT0270170
Source: RNAcentral
AGUCUUUUACUCCCUGGAGAUAAGCCUUCGCGGGGUUCGCAGGACUGCGUCCUCCUGGGCCCCUUUUUCCUUUUUUCUUCUACCUGGGGGUUGUGGUGCCAAAUGCCUCUUGGGUUCCAACGUCUGGUGCCCUCUCAGGAGUUCCACCGGCAACGACCCGACGUGCAGGGACUGUGGCAGGGUUAUUGAGAUAGACCUGAUUGACGUAUGGUAACCUGCAUAUAUUUAUAGUGUGCAAUGCGGAAAGUUUCGACACUUUGCACACCU